AUUGAACGCUGGCGGCAUGCUUUACACAUGCAAGUCGAACGGUAACAGGUUAAGCUGACGAGUGGCGAACGGGUGAGUAAUGCAUCGGAACGUGCCCGGUCGUGGGGGAUAACGCAGCGAAAGCUGCGCUAAUACCGCAUACGAUCUGAGGAUGAAAGCGGGGGACCGUAAGGCCUCGCGCGAUCGGAGCGGCCGAUGUCAGAUUAGGUAGUUGGUGGGGUAAAGGCUCACCAAGCCAACGAUCUGUAGCUGGUCUGAGAGGACGACCAGCCACACUGGGACUGAGACACGGCCCAGACUCCUACGGGAGGCAGCAGUGGGGAAUUUUGGACAAUGGGCGAAAGCCUGAUGGAGCGACGCCGCGUGAGGGAUGAAGCCCUUUGGGGUGUAAACCUCUCUUUUGGAGGAUGAUACGCACCGUUUGGUGCUAAGACAGUACUCCAAGAAUAAGCAUCGGCUAACUACGUGCCAGCAGCCGCAGUAA
This 484-nucleotide ribosomal RNA is filed under the name uncultured bacterium. RNAcentral describes it as "partial 16S ribosomal RNA". It matches the Rfam family "Bacterial small subunit ribosomal RNA", at positions 30 to 523 of the family's 1533-position model. The record is from RNAcentral.